GUGGGGAAUAUUGGACAAUGGGCGAAAGCCUGAUCCAGCCAUGCCGCGUGAGUGAUGAAGGCCUUAGGGUUGUAAAGCUCUUUCAGUAGGGAAGAUAAUGACGGUACCUACAGAAGAAGCCCCGGCUAACUUCGUGCCAGCAGCCGCGGUAAUACGAAGGGGGCUAGCGUUGUUCGGAUUUACUGGGCGUAAAGCGCACGUAGGCGGAUUGGUCAGUUAGAGGUGAAAUCCUGGAGCUCAACUCCAGAACUGCCUUUAAUACUGCCAGUCUAGAGGCCAGAAGAGGUGAGUGGAACUCCUAGUGUAGAGGUGGAAUUCGUAGAUAUUAGGAAGAACACCAGUGGCGAAGGCGGCUCACUGGUCUGGUACUGACGCUGAGGUGCGAAAGCGUGGGGAGCAAACAGGAUUAGAAACCCCGGUAGUCC
RNAcentral lists this ribosomal RNA (425 nucleotides) under uncultured bacterium. Its description in RNAcentral is "partial 16S ribosomal RNA". It matches the Rfam family "Bacterial small subunit ribosomal RNA", at positions 354 to 796 of the family's 1533-position model. The record is from RNAcentral.